This 871-nucleotide unclassified non-coding RNA is filed under the name Hevea brasiliensis (rubber tree). The record is from RNAcentral. Lineage: Eukaryota; Viridiplantae; Streptophyta; Magnoliopsida; Malpighiales; Euphorbiaceae.
GUCCAAAACCCUAAAGAAAUAAAAUUAGUCGAAGAUCUAACUCAAGAACAAAGAAAUAAAUCUAUAGCUUUAUUAACAAAUUACCAAGAAGUGUUGGCCUAGUCUUAUAAGGAUGUGCUUGGGAUUGAUUGAGAUAUAGUAUAGCAUAAGAUGACUACAGAUCUGAGUAUAAGGUCGAUAAAGCAAAAGAAAUAUCGACUUAGAGUUGAAUAGGAAGAAAAGAUAGCUUAAGAAGUGAAAAAGCUCAUUGAGACUGAUUUCAUUGAAGUAGUUGAAUAUUUGGAAUGGUUAGCUUACAUUGUCCGGUUCCUAGGAAAGAUGGAUGUAUUCGAAUCAGUGUGGAUUGCUGGGAUUUGAACAAAGCCACCCCAAAGGAUGAUUUUCCAUUAUCCCACAUCAAUGUGUUGAUAAUUCUGCUUGAAUGGCCAUGUAUCCCUUCAUGGAUGGUUUCUUAAGUUAUAAUUAGAUUCUCAUGGACUUCAUAGAUAAGGCAAAGACAACUUUUAUUACAAAAUGGAGAACAUAUUGCUACAAGGUCAUGCCUUUUAGGUUGAAAAAUGCUGGUGCAACUUACCAAAGGAUAGGCACUAUGCUUUUCCAUGACGGGAUGUAUAAGGAAGUCAAGGUAUAUGUAGAUGACAUGGUAGUUAAUUCCCUAACUAGGAAAGGACACUUUGAGGCAUUGGAAAAGUUCUUCCAAAGGAUAAUCAAGUACAAACUAAAAGCGUAGUCCUAGCAAGUGUGUUUUUGGGGUUACUUUCAAAAAGCUAUUGGGGCACGUAAUUAGCAAGAAGGGGAAUGAGAUUGAUCUAAACAAGUAAUUUAAGAAAUGCUAGCUCCGAAGACGGAAAAGGAAGUUAGAGGAUUCCUA